This 702-nucleotide ribosomal RNA is filed under the name Mortierella alliacea. RNAcentral describes it as "eukaryotic LSU rRNA". It matches the Rfam family "Eukaryotic large subunit ribosomal RNA", at positions 92 to 649 of the family's 3401-position model. Lineage: Eukaryota; Fungi; Mortierellomycota; Mortierellomycetes; Mortierellales; Mortierellaceae. The record is from RNAcentral.
AGUGAAGCGGGAUGAAGCUCAAAUUUAAAAUCUGGCUGGUUUACUAGUCCGAGUUGUAGUUUAAAGAAGCGUUUUCGGUGGCAGUCUCGGUAUAAAUCCUUUGGAAUAGGGUAUCAUAGAGGGUGAGAAUCCCGUCUUUGACUGAGAAUAUGCUACUAUGUGAUACGUUUUCAAAGAGUCGAGUUGUUUGGGAAUGCAGCUCAAAAUGGGUGGUAAAUUUCAUCUAAAGCUAAAUAUUGGCGAGAGACCGAUAGCGAACAAGUACCGUGAGGGAAAGAUGAAAAGAACUUUGAAAAGAGAGUUAAACAGUGCGUGAAAUUGUUGAAAGGGAAACGCUUGAAACCAGUCAUGCGGUUGGGAAAUCAGUCUCUGACGGGGGGGAAUAGGGGAGGUGUGGACCGUAAGGCCGCUCUUUCUUAUAUCUUUCUCGCCAGGGAUGCACUUUUUCUUCUGCAGGUCAACAUCAGUUUGCUUUGCCGGACAAAACUCUUGGGAAGGUGACAGCUUAGGCUGUGUUAUAGCCCUUGAGCGAUACGGUGGAGCGGACUGAGGUUUUCGCAGCAUGUGCUCUCGGGCAAGGCUGAUUGGGUGCUAUGAGAUCGUUCAGGGUACAAUACAUGUAUUUUGCCUUGUGUCUUUUUUAUACUCGCUCAACUCGGCUCUUCCAUGCUUAGGAUGUUGACAUAAUGGUUUUAAUCGACC